Molecule: non-coding RNA, 261 nt
Filed under: Bacillota bacterium
Lineage: Bacteria; Bacillati; Bacillota
Description: Firmicutes bacterium T-box sequence
Rfam family: T-box leader
About the family: Uncharged tRNA acts as the effector for transcription antitermination of genes in the T-box leader family. T-boxes are found upstream of many aminoacyl-tRNA synthetase genes and some amino acid biosynthetic genes usually in Gram-positive bacteria.
Source: RNAcentral
GACAACGCGAGGACGCGGAGUAGUAAGCGCAGGGGCCCUGCCAGAGAGAUGCCGGUUGGUGCGAGGCAUUCAGAAGGCCCCUGGCCGAACUGACCGCCGAGCGGCCGUGCCGAAGCAAGUAGGCCCGGACGGGGUUGCGCCCGUUAGCAACGCAGGGGUAUCCAGCUGGCCAGGCUGCCGGCCCGUACCCGCAAAGUGCGUUUCCCCUUUUGGAAACGAAGGAAAAGUGGUACCGCGGAAGGUUGCUCUUUCGUCUUUUCU